GCCCGGCGCCUGGCAGAACCUCUGAGGGAAAAGGCAAGGAACAGCUGCGCUUGUUCUGCCCUUUCUUUAGCCAGGGACUGGAACACAGACAAAAUCGAGGGGCUCUUUGACCUGGGCAGGCUCCGAGCAUUUUUCAGCCUUCCCUAGCAGGGCAUUCUCACCCUCUGAAAAGCUGAAAGGCUUUAACAGCUGGAGACGCGCCUGCAGCUGUGCAGAUUAAUGUAGUUUCUUUUAGGAAACGAAGGGGAAGUUUUCCUGUUGUGAGCCUAAAUACCGAGUCUACUCUGCUUUUUCAAUCAGGUGACGAAGCUUCUGGAAAAAAAGACCAAAGGCCUCGAGGGAUGUUCUUCUUGAUCCCCCGGGGCAAAGGGAGGUGUCAGCGUCAGGAGCCAUCCUAACUGGGGCCCUGGUAGGCUCCCUGUUUUCCUUCGGUCGCCGUGGGUGUGCCGGAUGCCUCUGGCAGGACUAACCCUGUGGCUUUUAUGUCCAGCGUGCUGUGCUGUGUGUGCCUGCAGGUGGUUGGUGUUUCUGCAGUGUUUGGCACAGGACUGGGGGAGAUUUUUACCCAGCUUUCUAAAGCUGUAGAUGAAUAGGAGAGACUGAAUGCACUCCCUUUAUUCACCUUUUCAGAGAGUAUCGGCCAGAAUACGAGCGCCUGAGAAAAACACUGGACAGUUCUCUGCAGGCACAGCUACACAGAGUUUGGCUUCCCGGCGCUGCUGAAAACGUCCUAGAAUCCCACCUGACUGGAGGUUGCUUUCCACGCUUAGUCCGAAGUUCUGUGUAACCUGAGUUGAAAUAAUCCACAUGUAAAUCUUUGUCUACGGGAGAAAGCUCAAAAUAAACAAAAGAGAGAGCAGCUGGAACACUUGUGGAAGGACAUGGGCAGCGUGUGUGUGCAGGGCAGCACACUGGCAGAAUUGCCACGAGAGGAAAUACUUCAGAGGGGCUUCCCUCCAGCUAAGCCCUGAAUAUGCCAGGAGGUUUCAGCCGGGAGGAAAGGAGCUGUGGAAGAAAAGCAGCCUAAAAAUAGCCAGCGGGGAUCAUCAGGUUUUCCAGCCAAGAAGAACAAGGAGAGAGAUGAGGGAAUCGGGUUCCAAUUCCUAAUGAUUUGGUGGGUGCAGGAAUGAUUUGUGUGUGUUUUCCAGUCCCUUUUGAUUCCUGAGAUGAUUUUAAAAUGAUGGCUUUAGCAAUCAACUAAAUCGGAGAUGUUGUUUUUGAGAGGAAAUGAUGCCAAAUAAAUGCAGAGUUUUGGGUCA
Pseudopipra pipra is the source of this 1259-nucleotide long non-coding RNA. RefSeq lists it as uncharacterized. The record is from RefSeq and is a predicted model, not a curated record. The transcript is spliced from 8 exons. NCBI's taxonomy places the organism in Eukaryota, Metazoa, Chordata, Aves, Passeriformes, Pipridae.